CUACGGGUCGCACCAGUGAGGAAUAUUGCACAAUGGGGGGAACCCUGAUGCAGCAACGCCGCGUGGAGGAUGACGCAUUUCGGUGUGUAAACUCCUUUUAUAUGUCAAGAAAAUGACGGUAGCAUAUGAAUAAGCGCCGGCUAACUCCGUGCCAGCAGCCGCGGUAAUACGGAGGGCGCAAGCGUUACUCGGAAUCACUGGGCGUAAAGGACGCGUAGGCGGGUUGAAAAGUCAGGUGUGAAAGCCUACAGCUUAACUGUAGAACUGCACUUGAAACUCUCAAUCUAGAGUAUGGGAGGGGCAGAUGGAAUUAGUGGUGUAGGGGUAAAAUCCGUAGAUAUUACUAGGAAUACCUAAAGCGAAGGCGAUCUGCUGGAACAUUACUGACGCUAAGGCGUGAAAGCGUGGGGAGCAAACAGGAUUAGAUACCCCUGUAGUC
RNAcentral lists this ribosomal RNA (439 nucleotides) under uncultured bacterium. RNAcentral describes it as "partial 16S ribosomal RNA". It matches the Rfam family "Bacterial small subunit ribosomal RNA", at positions 339 to 795 of the family's 1533-position model. The record is from RNAcentral.